AGUGAUGUUUGAGCCCCAGCAUAGAUCAGCAUGCCAGGAAGCAGCCCACCGGACCCACCCCUGAUCAUGGCACUGGACAUUGUUUUCCGUGCUUUUCUCAGGCUGGUUUCUGCCUGUCCCAACCCUGGCCAUGGCUGACAAGGGGCCCAGGGACACUGGAGCAGAGAGACCUGCUGGUCCUUGGGGUUUCUUGCAAGGAGUGAUGAAAACUUGAAGAUCGAGGAUUGGAUAUAAGCUCAGAGGUGAAGGAGGGAAAUUCCUCGGGUCAACUUUAGCGGACUGAUCCACGGGGUCUGCCAAGAGACAGGAGCUCGAGGGUUAAACCCAAGCACUCGGGAGUCAGAUGUAUGAAUCUGAAUCUCAGCCUCUCGGCUUGCUGUGUAAUCUCAGAGUGAAUCAUCUGUGAACACUUCCUGUGAACGUGUGACUAUGAUUAUGGAACACUCUGUUGCAUCAAGAUGGCCAGAGAUUGUCUCAGAGUCCAGGCAGUGGGAGGAGGGGGGAUUUGUUUCCUGGCUGGGUGGUCGUAGGGCAUCAAGGGAUGAGCAGCUUUGGUUGUCUGGGAUUUCAGCAGCUUGAGGGGAGCUGUAGGGCCCCAGAGCUGUCGCUGUGGCUGUGGUGUCAGAAAUGUAAGCAAGGUGCCUCCAUGGAGGUUAGCGAGGGUGCCCCUCUGAAUGCCGGGUGGAAUGCAACCUUUCGCAUGGAGGAGGCCCUCAGCAGCUGACCUCUGUCUUCCCUGUGUAGAGGGAGGGAGGCUGAGGCUGGGGCUGAGCGAGGGGUAAAGUAAGCCACGUGUCUCAUCAGCUAGCCUGCAGCAAGCACAGCCCUCUGGGAGGGCUGGUUCUAUCCUCCUCCUUGGUGUGAAAUCCAUCAAUCUAAUAGGGAUCCUUAUUUUCCCAGCCACCAAGUCACAAUGAGCAAUAAUCUCUUCUUGUUGGUGCAUAUAAAUU
This is a long non-coding RNA of Homo sapiens (human), 950 nucleotides long. Ensembl annotates it as non-coding transcript regulating alternative splicing. Its record names the gene NTRAS. The record is from Ensembl. NCBI's taxonomy places the organism in Eukaryota, Metazoa, Chordata, Mammalia, Primates, Hominidae.